RNAcentral lists this long non-coding RNA (447 nucleotides) under Homo sapiens (human). RNAcentral describes it as "HSALNT0007966". Lineage: Eukaryota; Metazoa; Chordata; Mammalia; Primates; Hominidae. The record is from RNAcentral.
CUCCCGGAUUCAACCAGAGCACUUAUGCUCUCAUCUGCUUUGUUUAUUGGACUUAUAGGAAAAAUGGAGACUUAAGGAAGAAAGAAGUUUUCCCCAUGAUGGCAUGAAGAAAAGCCACACAGUCCUCUGGCGGGAACCAUUAGAGGAAGGGACUAACAUUGUUCUCCCCUGAGUCUCUUCUUUGAGGCAGGGAGAAGACCCUGGAACAUCUGCAGGUGCAGAGAAAUGCCACCACUGGAUCAAGUGUUUGUCCUGUGAUAUGGAGACCACUCAAACAGCUUUACAAUUGUGUGCUAGUCAAGUGUAGAAUCAAAACCCUUUCUGUAGUUUCUGUUUGAGAAAAUAAAAAAGUUCUGGAGAUGGAUGGUUGUACAAUGUGAAUGUAUUUAACACUGAACAAUACAAUUAAAGACGGUAAAAUAGUAAAUGUUGUUAUGUAUAUUUUAC